Rosa chinensis is the source of this 462-nucleotide long non-coding RNA. RefSeq lists it as uncharacterized. The record is from RefSeq and is a predicted model, not a curated record. The transcript is spliced from 4 exons. NCBI's taxonomy places the organism in Eukaryota, Viridiplantae, Streptophyta, Magnoliopsida, Rosales, Rosaceae.
GAUUAGAUUUUCAGCUAAAGUUAUAGUCUUUGGCCUUUUGAAAAUUCAUGGUCUUACUUUCUUCUUUUAUUGUUGUUGUUGGAAGUAUCUGGAGUUCUGAAGCCUGCAUUAUCGGUUUAAUUUAGUUUAAGCGCAUUGGAUUUUGUUAACGAUUGCGUAUCUGAUUUGAAGAAUGCUUUAAUAAUUGGAAACAGAUCUGGUGAGAAUAUACCUGUGCUGCAUAUGUGACAUUCAGAGAUGCUUAUGCUCUUGAAACUGCUGUUUUGUCAGUAUAUGAAAAAGUUCGACACUUGGAUACUCAUAUUGGUCAACCUCAAUUUAGUCCUCCUACGUUUCUAUCUAUUCCUGUGCUGCAUGAAGUGACUCCAGUCGGAUAUCUUAUUGCACCGCCAGAAGGAAACCAAUUGGACCUCAGAGUGAUUGGAAGCUGAAUAAUAAUAUCCAUGUAUCCAAGAAGGAGCA